AACGAACGCUGGCGGCAUGCCUAACACAUGCAAGUCGAACGAGACCUUCGGGUCUAUUGGCGUACGGGUGCGUAACGCGUGGGAACCUUCCCUUAGGUUCGGAAUAACUCCCCGAAAGGGGUGCUAAUACCGGAUAAUGUCUUCGGACCAAAGAUUUAUCGCCUUUGGAUGGGCCCGCGUUGGAUUAGCUAGUUGGUAGGGUAAAAGCCUACCAAGGCGACGAUCCAUAGCUGGUCUGAGAGGAUGAUCAGCCACACUGGGACUGAGACACGGCCCAGACUCCUACGGGAGGCAGCAGUGGGGAAUAGUGGAAAAUGGGCGAAAGCCUGAUCCAGCAAUGACGCGUGAGUGAUGAAGGCCUUAGGGUUGUAAAGCUCUUUUAACCGGGAUGAUAAUGACAGUACCGGGAGAAUAAGCUCCGGCUAACUACGUG
Molecule: ribosomal RNA, 433 nt
Filed under: uncultured bacterium
Lineage: Bacteria
Description: partial 16S ribosomal RNA
Rfam family: Bacterial small subunit ribosomal RNA
Source: RNAcentral